RNAcentral lists this unclassified non-coding RNA (1909 nucleotides) under Venturia canescens. Its description in RNAcentral is "peptidyl-alpha-hydroxyglycine alpha-amidating lyase 1-like, transcript variant X1". Lineage: Eukaryota; Metazoa; Arthropoda; Insecta; Hymenoptera; Ichneumonidae. The record is from RNAcentral.
GAGCGUCACAGCUGUCGCCAAAAGAACAGGAUCCUUUAUCCUUUGCGUUUAUUCAUUCACACGUCAAAAAUUCCACACAUAUGUUUAGUUUGUAGUAUUUAUAAUCACAUUCUGAUAAGAUAUACGAGUUUUAUAAAAAUUUUCAUUCAUGCUAUUUUGUGGAAUAUAUUUCGAAUACGUAAUGGAAAACAGUGAUUUUCAUUUCAGUAAAUAGUGGAGAUAAUUAAAUUAAGGAUAUACCAAAAGUUCAUCGAAAUUGCAGCUGUGUUUUUGUUUGUGAUUAAAGAUUGCUGAUACAAUGACGCGCGUAUGUUUUGCAGCUUCGUUUAUGGUCUCUCUAACAAUAUUCCCGACAAUCGAUGCCGUUUUUCAAGAUUUUAUGAAUCUCCAGCAUCCAAGAUCUCAUUUACCUGAUACAAAAUUCAACUAUGGAGAAUAUUCGGAACAUUUAGAAACUGAAGAAAGAAGAGAAAAUGGCCCUGAAACAGCAUGGGAUAGAAUACCACAACAUAACGAUCAACCAUCUAGAUACAGCCAUACCCAGACGGAAAGUCCUGAUCAGCUUUCGGAUACCUUUGAUCCAAAUAUCACAUGGGACCCACAUUGGAUAACAGACAUGAGCAAAAUGGGUCAAUUGACUGCCGUUGAUUUAGACCCGGAAGGAAGGAUUGCAAUAUUUAGUAGACGUGAGAGAAUUUGGGGUUUAACAACGUUCGAUUACCAUAAUAAAUUCGAUUGUAGCAACGGUCCGAUUAAGCACGACACGAUAUUGCUGUAUGACAAAACAGGUCGGAAAGUUUUGCAAUGGGGCAGAAACAUGUUUUAUUUACCUCAUGGACUAACGAUAGACCAUGAAGGAAAUUAUUGGAUGACAGAUGUAGCUUUGCACCAGGUUUUCAAAUUUGACGCUAAGGACAUAGAAAAGAAUUGGAAUUUAUUGAAAAAAGCUGAAAAUCAAACGAUCAAGGAUCUCGAAAAUGUUCACGAUUAUAAGCAUCGUUUUGAGCACAGUAUCAUCAAACCUUCUAUCAUACUUGGCCAAGCUUUUGAGCCCGGAGAUGACAAUCUAAGGUUCUGCAAACCGACUGCUGUUGCAGUUGCACAAAAUGGUGACUUUUUUGUUAGCGACGGUUAUUGCAACUCCAGAGUCAUUAAAUUUAACAAAAAUGGAGAAAGAAUAUUGCAUUGGGGUCGAUCAUGGCCAGCUACAGAUACGUUCAAUAAAUCGCCACCUUCGUACGCUCUUUUCGUUCCACAUUCCCUGGCGUUGGCGGAGGAUCAGAAUUUAAUAUACGUUGCGGAUCGGGAGGACGGUAGAGUGAUGGCUUACAACGCUCAAAAUGGAACUUUUCACCGUGAAUUCAAGCAUCCGUCGUUGGGUACCAAAAUUUAUGCAGUAGCCUAUGCCCGUGAAAAACUUUAUCUUAUCAACGGACCGGAACCUUUUAAAUCACAUUAUUUCCACGUGAGAGGUUUCGUUCUCGACACUAAUAGUGGCAAUGUCGUUUCGCAAUUUGGCCCUGGACGAGACAUGCUCGCACCCCAUGACAUCGCUGUUUCGGACGAUGGAUCCGAAAUUUAUACAAUCGAAUUGGACGACCACAAAGUUUAUCGGUUUGUUCAAGCGCCGCUUUCUAUAUGUAGAGGAUGCAUGAGGCGUGAUUGUGUAGGACAGGCAAAGUGUACAAGCUUUGACAAAACCGUGUAGCCGGCAGCACCGUACAAGCAUUGGAUUUCAUUAUACACGCCGCGGCAAAAACUUUUAGCUCACGUAAGUAAACAAGUAUUAGUGAAGACGAAUUUGACGUCAGCUGGAAAUGCAACGUAUCUUCAGCACCACGAAGUUGCACCACUGACGGAUGACACGCCGAGUGAUGUGAAUUCGAGAAAAAGCGGAAGCGGCGCAGUU